AGACCCGAAACCCGGUGAUCUAGCCAUGGGCAGGUUGAAGGUUGGGUAACACUAACUGGAGGACCGAACCGACUAAUGUUGAAAAAUUAGCGGAUGACCUGUGGCUGGGGGUGAAAGGCCAAUCAAACCGGGAGAUAGCUGGUUCUCCCCGAAAGCUAUUUAGGUAGCGCCUCGUGAAUUCAUCUCCGGGGGUAGAGCACUGUUUCGGCUAGGGGGCCAUCCCGGCUUACCAACCCGAUGCAAACUGCGAAUACCGGAGAAUGUUAUCACGGGAGACACACGGCGGGUGCUAACGUCCGUCGUGAAGAGGGAAACAACCCAGACCGCCAGCUAAGGUCCCAAAGUCAUGGUUAAGUGGGAAACGAUGUGGGAAGGCCCAGACAGCCAGGAUGUUGGCUUAGAAGCAGCCAUCAUUUAAAGAAAGCGUAAUAGCUCACUGGUCGAGUCGGCCUGCGCGGAAGAUGUAACGGGGCUAAACCAUGCACCGAAGCUGCGGCAGCGACACUCAGGUGUUGUUGGGUAGGGGAGCGUUCUGUAAGCCUGCGAAGGUGGCCUGUGAGGGUUGCUGGAGGUA
This 574-nucleotide ribosomal RNA is filed under the name Salmonella enterica. Its description in RNAcentral is "partial 23S ribosomal RNA". It matches the Rfam family "Bacterial large subunit ribosomal RNA", at positions 711 to 1281 of the family's 2925-position model. Lineage: Bacteria; Pseudomonadati; Pseudomonadota; Gammaproteobacteria; Enterobacterales; Enterobacteriaceae. The record is from RNAcentral.